This 107-nucleotide ribosomal RNA is filed under the name Limosilactobacillus reuteri. Its description in RNAcentral is "Lactobacillus reuteri partial 23S ribosomal RNA". It matches the Rfam family "Bacterial large subunit ribosomal RNA", at positions 2819 to 2925 of the family's 2925-position model. Lineage: Bacteria; Bacillati; Bacillota; Bacilli; Lactobacillales; Lactobacillaceae. The record is from RNAcentral.
UUCGGGAAAGUAAGACCCCUCAGAGAUGAUGAGGUAGAUAGGAUGGAAGUGGAAGUGCCGUGAGACAUGGAGCGGACCAUUACUAAUCGGUCGAGGACUUAACCAAG